RNAcentral lists this non-coding RNA (24 nucleotides) under Arabidopsis thaliana (thale cress). Lineage: Eukaryota; Viridiplantae; Streptophyta; Magnoliopsida; Brassicales; Brassicaceae. The record is from RNAcentral.
UUAAGACUCAUGAAUUCAUACGAC